CUACGUGCCAGCAGCCGCGGUAAUACGGAGGAUGCGAGCGUUAUCCGGAUUUAUUGGGUUUAAAGGGUGCGUAGGCGGUUUGUUAAGUCAGCGGUGAAAUCUAGAGGCUCAACCUCGAAACUGCCGUUGAAACUGGCGAACUUGAGUGUAGAUGAGGUAGGCGGAAUUCGUGGUGUAGCGGUGAAAUGCAUAGAUAUCACGAGGAACUCCGAUUGCGAAGGCAGCUUACUAAGGUACAACUGACGCUGAAGCACGAAAGCGUGGGUAUCAAACAGGAUUAGAUACCCUGGUAGUCCACGCAGUAAACGAUGAUAACUGGGCGUAUGCGAUAUACAGUAUGCYCCUAAGCGAAAGCGUUAAGUUAUCCACCUGGGGAGUACGCCGGCAACGGUGAAACUCAAAGGAAUUGACGGGGGCCCGCACAAGCGGAGGAACAUGUGGUUUAAUUCGAUGAUACGCGAGGAACCUUACCCGGGAU
This 478-nucleotide ribosomal RNA is filed under the name uncultured bacterium. RNAcentral's name for it is "bacterial SSU rRNA". It matches the Rfam family "Bacterial small subunit ribosomal RNA", at positions 501 to 981 of the family's 1533-position model. The record is from RNAcentral.